UAUGUAUUUAUGGGGCUAGGAUUUGGUAGUUGGUACUGAGAGAAAACCUUGUUUGAAUCCUUACCCUGGUACUAUACCAGUAUCAGCUGUCACUCAGUGGGACAGAC
Molecule: small nucleolar RNA, 107 nt
Filed under: Octodon degus (degu)
Lineage: Eukaryota; Metazoa; Chordata; Mammalia; Rodentia; Octodontidae
Description: Small nucleolar RNA SNORA30/SNORA37 family (ENSODEG00000024812.1)
Source: RNAcentral